Molecule: transfer RNA, 71 nt
Filed under: Camelus bactrianus (Bactrian camel)
Lineage: Eukaryota; Metazoa; Chordata; Mammalia; Artiodactyla; Camelidae
Also listed under: 2 other names
Rfam family: tRNA
About the family: Transfer RNA (tRNA) molecules are approximately 80 nucleotides in length. Their secondary structure includes four short double-helical elements and three loops (D, anti-codon, and T loops).
Source: Rfam by way of RNAcentral
GAGGGUAUAGCUCAGUGGUAGAGUGUGUGCUUAGCAUGCACAAGGUCCAGGUUCAAUUUUCCAGUACUCCA